This 76-nucleotide transfer RNA is filed under the name Elusimicrobia bacterium GWA2_51_34. RNAcentral's name for it is "tRNA-Ala". It matches the Rfam family "tRNA". Rfam says of the family: Transfer RNA (tRNA) molecules are approximately 80 nucleotides in length. RNAcentral also lists the same sequence under 20 other names. The record is from RNAcentral. Lineage: Bacteria; Pseudomonadati; Elusimicrobiota.
GGGCGUGUAGCUCAGUUGGGAGAGCGCCUCGUUCGCAACGAGGAGGUCGCAGGUUCGAUCCCUGUCACGUCCACCA